GGAACAAGCUGUUAACAACUUGUAACAACCUUGUUGAUAUUAUCAGAUUUGUCGCAAGGUUGUUCCAACAAGUCCGAUACAGUCUUGGCAUAACAAUAUUGUAACAACCUUGUGUCGUCAAGUUUGUAACAUUCUUGUUAUAUGAUGAUUGUAUCAGACUUGUUAGAACAACCUUGUAACAAGUCUGAUAAUGUCAUCAAGCUUGCAGUUACAAGCUGUUAACAGCUUGUUCC
Paramuricea clavata is the source of this 233-nucleotide non-coding RNA. The record is from the annotation of a GenBank genome assembly. Lineage: Eukaryota; Metazoa; Cnidaria; Anthozoa; Malacalcyonacea; Plexauridae.